UACGGGAGGCAGCAGUGGGGAAUAUUGCACAAUGGGCGCAAGCCUGAUGCAGCCAUGCCGCGUGUAUGAAGAAGGCCUUCGGGCUGUAAAGUACUUUCAGUCGUGAGGAAGGUGUUAAGGUUAAUAACCUUAGCAAUUGACGUUAGCGACAGAAGAAGCACCGGCUAACUCCGUGCCAGCAGCCGCGGUAAUACGGAGGGUGCGAGCGUUAAUCGGAAUUACUGGGCGUAAAGGGCACGCAGGCGGUUAAUUAAGUUGGAUGUGAAAUCCCCGGGCUUAACCUGGGAAUGGCAUUCAAGACUGGUUAGCUAGAGUCUUGUAGAGGGGGUAGAAUUCCAUGUGUAGCGGUGAAAUGCGUAGAGAUGUGGAGGAAUACCGGUGGCGAAGGCGGCCCCUGGGACAAAGGACUGACGCUCAUGUGCGAAAGCGUGGGGAGCAAACAGGGAUUAGAUACC
Molecule: ribosomal RNA, 455 nt
Filed under: uncultured bacterium
Lineage: Bacteria
Description: bacterial SSU rRNA
Rfam family: Bacterial small subunit ribosomal RNA
Source: RNAcentral